RNAcentral lists this long non-coding RNA (917 nucleotides) under Homo sapiens (human). Its description in RNAcentral is "long intergenic non-protein coding RNA 1563". Lineage: Eukaryota; Metazoa; Chordata; Mammalia; Primates; Hominidae. The record is from RNAcentral.
GUGGCUCUACAGCAGCAGUGAGAGCCGAGCUGUGGCAGACACAUGCUCUUCCCCUGACUCACGGCUGCCCAGUUCCCUCCAGCGAGGCUGCUGACCUAUUUUUCUAUUAGGAACAACCAGCCAAUGUGAUAAUGAGGAAAAUGUAUUCUGGCCCCUAUGAAGUUUAGUGAAGCCCGAAUGAAGUGGAGGAGGCCACGGAGAUGCACGAGGAAGAGCAUUCCAGGCAGAGGGAACAGCGAGGACAAAAGCCCCCGGGCAGGAAUGGGUGUGCAAGCCUGAGAUCCAACAUGGCGGAGAGCAAGCCGGAAGUGCUGCGCGGGGAUCCUAAGGGAGCACUGAACAGGACAAGCUCAGUUUUGUCCCUCAAACCUCCACAAUCAGCUAUUUUACAUAAGGAAAGUGGGUGGUGAUUAACCUCAGAGUCUCCAGGGACAGACUAUCCAGGACUGUGCCUGAAAUAGAAGAGGAAUUAACAUCAUACAGAACUGAAUACGGUGACUGAGGGGAGUUUGUGUCUCCCCUUUUAGGAAAGAAGAUGAGAAUAAGUUGAAUUAUCACAAUUUCCUGAUAAGCAGAGUCCAGCUUCCUAAUUCAAACUCUCAAACUCAUUGUUAAAUAAGCCCAGAGGAGUUGGACAUUUUCCAUCACGCAUGUGGGAAGAAAGAAGGCCAACGAUGCUCUUCAGAUUUAACAAGUAAACCUUAAAAGUAUCUGUUAAGAAUACAGAGAUGCCCAUGACAACACUAUCACCAGAGCAACAACUAUCAACUAAGACUUGCAGUUUUUGAGGCCUGGUUCUGAAGUGAACUACUCAGCAUUACUUGCAAAGGACAGACCUGCAAAGUGACGUUUUGCUGGCAGAAAUGGAGAAGGAGCUGAGUACAGAUUUCAUGUAAUAAAAGUGAAAUGAAAAUGAA